AACUUUCAGCAACGGAUCUCUUGGCUCUCGCAUCGAUGAAGAACGCAGCGAAAUGCGAUAAGUAAUGUGAAUUGCAGAAUUCAGUGAAUCAUCGAUCUUUGAACGCACCUUGCGCCCCUUGGCUAUUCCGAGGGGCAUGCCUGUUUGAGUAUCAUG
This 156-nucleotide ribosomal RNA is filed under the name Thelephora americana. RNAcentral describes it as "5.8S ribosomal RNA". It matches the Rfam family "5.8S ribosomal RNA". From Rfam's summary of the family: 5.8S ribosomal RNA (5.8S rRNA) is a component of the large subunit of the eukaryotic ribosome. It is transcribed by RNA polymerase I as part of the 45S precursor that also contains 18S and 28S rRNA. Functionally, it is thought that 5.8S rRNA may be involved in ribosome translocation. The record is from RNAcentral. Lineage: Eukaryota; Fungi; Basidiomycota; Agaricomycetes; Thelephorales; Thelephoraceae.